Molecule: unclassified non-coding RNA, 378 nt
Filed under: uncultured bacterium
Lineage: Bacteria
Description: contains 16S-23S intergenic spacer region
Source: RNAcentral
UCGCGGCUUAUCACCGGCAGUCCCCUUAGAGUGCCCAACUGAAUGAUGGCAACUAAGGGCGAGGGUUGCGCUCGUUGCGGGACUUAACCCAACAUCUCACGACACGAGCUGACGACAGCCAUGCAGCACCUGUCUCGCGAUUCCCGAAGGCACCAAGGCAUUUCUGCCGAGUUCCGCGGAUGUCGAGACCAGGUAAGGUUCUUCGCGUUGCGUCGAAUUAAACCACAUGCUCCGCUGCUUGUGCGGGCCCCCGUCAAUUCCUUUGAGUUUCAGCCUUGCGGCCGUACUCCCCAGGCGGGGCACUUAAUGCGUUAGCUUCGGCACGGAAGGAGUCGACACCUCCCACACCUAGUGCCCAUCGUUUACGGCGUGGACUAC